Molecule: transfer RNA, 73 nt
Filed under: Thalassospira xiamenensis
Lineage: Bacteria; Pseudomonadati; Pseudomonadota; Alphaproteobacteria; Rhodospirillales; Thalassospiraceae
Also listed under: 1 other name
Description: tRNA_Glu_TTC
Rfam family: tRNA
About the family: Transfer RNA (tRNA) molecules are approximately 80 nucleotides in length. Their secondary structure includes four short double-helical elements and three loops (D, anti-codon, and T loops). Further hydrogen bonds mediate the characteristic L-shaped molecular structure. tRNAs have two regions of fundamental functional importance: the anti-codon, which is responsible for specific mRNA codon recognition, and the 3' end, to which the tRNAs corresponding amino acid is attached (by aminoacyl-tRNA synthetases). tRNAs cope with the degeneracy of the genetic code in two manners: having more than one tRNA (with a specific anti-codon) for a particular amino acid; and 'wobble' base-pairing, i.e. permitting non-standard base-pairing at the 3rd anti-codon position.
Source: RNAcentral
GAGGCCAUCGUCUAGCGGUCCAGGACCUCGGACUUUCACUCCGAGAACACGAGUUCAAAUCUCGUUGGCCUCA